This is a long non-coding RNA of Fundulus heteroclitus (mummichog), 690 nucleotides long. RefSeq lists it as uncharacterized. NCBI's taxonomy places the organism in Eukaryota, Metazoa, Chordata, Actinopteri, Cyprinodontiformes, Fundulidae. The record is from RefSeq and is a predicted model, not a curated record. The transcript has 2 exons.
CAGGCUUCAUAAGCUGUUAGAUGUAAAAGCCUGUUGUUUAGUUGUCUGAAUGUGUGAGAGAGGGAGCUGGCAUUUAUGGGGUUAACUCAGCCGUACAGCGCAGAGAGAGACGGGCGCGUCUCAGUACUGCGGCUGCGCACAGCGCUCUGAGAGACAGUUGGAAGGAGGACACAUGUUCCGGUUGCACGAGAGGCUCUCUGCUUCGGAAAAAGAAAAAAAGUUAAUACAUAAACUUAGCGGUUGAAAAAAACCUUGCAGGCAAAUUCCAGGAUUCAUAUUUGAUGUUGCCUACUCGGCGGUCAGGUUUUUGUUCUGAGAUAAGACUUGGUGACUCUUGACGCGGAGGAAGAGGCAUCAGCGACACUAGUGGUCCACGAGAAAAAGGAUACAAACAUUGGAACAACAUCGGGCUGAUUCCAAGCAUCUGUUGGAGUGACGGGAUCCAUAGAACUAGAUGGCGAGCCAGAACUGAAGGAAUAAAAACUGAACGACUCUCCUAAACCUGCGGUGUGGUAGGACAGAGUGAAACGCAUUAAAGGGCCCCAACGAUACCAAACGAGAACUAAACUGAGCUCAUAUUUUUUUUCUAAUUUUCUUUAUUUCAUAUUGUGCGCACUUUAUUUCUUCAUAUUGUUGUCAUAUUGUUAAUAUUGUUUACAUUCAUGAUUAACAAUACAUUUUUGAACGUAA